Porphyromonas gingivalis W83 is the source of this 37-nucleotide non-coding RNA. The record is from Rfam. NCBI's taxonomy places the organism in Bacteria, Pseudomonadati, Bacteroidota, Bacteroidia, Bacteroidales, Porphyromonadaceae.
GUCUUAAUAGCCUUACGGACUGUGUAUGUAUAGUGAG